RNAcentral lists this ribosomal RNA (534 nucleotides) under Cladosporium sp. 1 YHY-2018. RNAcentral describes it as "partial large subunit ribosomal RNA". It matches the Rfam family "Eukaryotic large subunit ribosomal RNA", at positions 62 to 517 of the family's 3401-position model. The record is from RNAcentral. Lineage: Eukaryota; Fungi; Ascomycota; Dothideomycetes; Cladosporiales; Cladosporiaceae.
AAACCAACAGGGAUUGCUCUAGUAACGGCGAGUGAAGCAGCAAUAGCUCAAAUUUGAAAUCUGGCGUCUUCGACGUCCGAGUUGUAAUUUGUAGAGGAUGCUUCUGAGUAACCACCGACCUAAGUUCCUUGGAACAGGACGUCAUAGAGGGUGAGAAUCCCGUAUGCGGUCGGAAAGGUGCUCUAUACGUAGCUCCUUCGACGAGUCGAGUUGUUUGGGAAUGCAGCUCUAAAUGGGAGGUAAAUUUCUUCUAAAGCUAAAUAUUGGCCAGAGACCGAUAGCGCACAAGUAGAGUGAUCGAAAGAUGAAAAGCACUUUGGAAAGAGAGUUAAAAAGCACGUGAAAUUGUUAAAAGGGAAGGGAUUGCAACCAGACUUGCUCGCGGUGUUCCGCCGGUCUUCUGACCGGUCUACUCGCCGCGUUGCAGGCCAGCAUCGUCUGGUGCCGCUGGAUAAGACUUGAGGAAUGUAGCUCCCUCGGGAGUGUUAUAGCCUCUUGUGAUGCAGCGAGCGCCGGGCGAGGUCCGCGCUUCGG